RNAcentral lists this non-coding RNA (182 nucleotides) under Shewanella sp. The record is from RNAcentral. Lineage: Bacteria; Pseudomonadati; Pseudomonadota; Gammaproteobacteria; Alteromonadales; Shewanellaceae. RNAcentral also lists the same sequence under 1 other name.
AUUUAGUCAACCUUUAGUGGUGCCCGUGAGUAACGGGAUAAUCGGGAAGUCGGUGAAAUUCCGGCACUGCCCCCGCAACGGUAAAUGGUGAGAUGCUGGCGCGCUACCGCGUUAUAAAAGUCAGCAGCGCGCGCUCGUCGCAUAGCCAAAGUCCGGAGACCGGCCCUUAAGGUAUUUCGCGU